Molecule: transfer RNA, 74 nt
Filed under: Nocardia stercoris
Lineage: Bacteria; Bacillati; Actinomycetota; Actinomycetes; Mycobacteriales; Nocardiaceae
Rfam family: tRNA
About the family: Transfer RNA (tRNA) molecules are approximately 80 nucleotides in length. Their secondary structure includes four short double-helical elements and three loops (D, anti-codon, and T loops).
Source: Rfam by way of RNAcentral
GCCCCUGUAGCUCAAUCGGUUAGAGCCGCUGACUCAUAACCAGCUGGUUGCCAGUUCGAGCCUGGCCGGGGGCA